ACGGCUCAGUAACACGUAGGUAACCUACCCUUCGGACGGGCACAACCCCGGGAAACUGGGGCUAAUUCCCGAUAGGUACCCCCUUCUGGAAUGUGGGGAUAUCCAAAGCUCCGGCGCCGAAGGAUGGGCCUGCGGCCGAUUAGGUUGUUGGCGGGGUAACAGCCCACCAAGCCGACGAUCGGUACGGGCAGUGAGAGCUGUAGCCCGGAGAUGGGGACUGAGACAAGGCCCCAGGCCCUACGGGGCGCAGCAGGCGCGAAACCUUCACAAUGCACGAAAGUGUGAUGAGGGUACUCCGAGUGCGCAUACAUUGUAUGUGCUUUUCUGCAGCGUAAAUAGUUGCAGGAAUAAGGGCUGGGCAAGACCGGUGCCAGCAGCCGCGGUAAUAC
Molecule: ribosomal RNA, 389 nt
Filed under: uncultured archaeon
Lineage: Archaea
Description: bacterial SSU rRNA
Rfam family: Archaeal small subunit ribosomal RNA
Source: RNAcentral